RNAcentral lists this ribosomal RNA (387 nucleotides) under uncultured bacterium. RNAcentral's name for it is "bacterial SSU rRNA". It matches the Rfam family "Bacterial small subunit ribosomal RNA", at positions 30 to 419 of the family's 1533-position model. The record is from RNAcentral.
AUUGAACGCUGGCGGCAUGCCUUACACAUGCAAGUCGAACGGCAGCGGACCUUCGGGUGCCGGCGAGUGGCGAACGGGUGAGUAAUAUAUCGGAACGUACCUUUCAGUGGGGGAUAACGUAGCGAAAGUUACGCUAAUACCGCAUAUUCUGUGAGCAGGAAAGCAGGGGAUCGCAAGACCUUGCGCUGAUUGAGCGGCCGAUAUCAGAUUAGCUAGUUGGUGAGGUAAAGGCUCACCAAGGCGACGAUCUGUAGCGGAUCUGAGAGGAUGAUCCGCCACACUGGAACUGAGACACGGUCCAGACUCCUACGGGAGGCAGCAGUGGGGAAUUUUGGACAAUGGGCGCAAGCCUGAUCCAGCCAUGCCGCGUGAGUGAAGAAGGCCUGG